RNA transcript from Sapajus apella (tufted capuchin), 1859 nucleotides. It is a transcript of the gene named protein max pseudogene, with no coding region annotated. The record is from RefSeq and is a predicted model, not a curated record. The transcript has a single exon. Lineage: Eukaryota; Metazoa; Chordata; Mammalia; Primates; Cebidae.
CCACUACCUGGGCUGUAGGAAAUGAGCAAUAACGAUGACAUCGAGGUGGAGAGCGACGAAGAGCAACCGAGGUUUCAAUCUGCGGCUGACAAACGGGCUCAUCAUAAUGCAUGGGAACGAAAACGUAGGGACCACAUCAAAGGCUUUCACCGUUGGCGGGACUCAGUCCCAUCACUCAAAGGAGAGACGGCAUCCCAGGCCCAAAUCCUAGACAAAGCCAGAGUAUAUCCAGCAUAUGCGAAGGAAAAACCACACACACCAGCAAGAUAUUGACGACCUCAAGCGGCAGAAUGCUCUUCUGGAGCAGCAAGUCCGUGCACUGGAGAAGGCGAGGUCAAGUGCCCAACUGCAGACCAACUACCGCUCCUCAGACAACAGCCUCUACACCAACGCCAAGGGCAGCACCAUCUCUGCCUUUGAUGGUUGAGGGAGUCUGAUGAUGGGAGGAUGAUGGGAGUUGGAGUCUGAGCCCGAAGAGCCCCAAAGCAGGAAGAAGCUCCGGAUGGAGGCCAGCUAAGCCCCUCGGGGCAGGCCAGCAAUAAAAACUGUCUCCAUCGUCUCAUCCUUUCAAUUCAUCUGUAGAACCCUCAGAACCAUUUAAGAGACUCUAUUUUUCUCUUUCUCCCUUUUUUAUUUUUAUUUUUACAUAGAAGCUCUUGGACAACAGCUCUAGUUCUCCUUCCCCAUUUCCACUGUUUAUUUUUUUAAAUGUAUUCCCUUCAGGGAUUCCCUGUCCCCACCAGGAAUUUUUAAACCAAAACACCCCAACUUGGCAGCUUUUUCUGUGGAGGACAGACGGCCGGCCGGACCUCUGAGCCCAUAGUAUCCUGCCCACCCUACCAGCUCCUCCAGCCCUGCUGGGCACAUACCCCGAGGAUGCCUGGCCUGCCCAGGUGGCCUCCUGGUCUACCCUCACCUCUGUAGGAUAGACUGUGAAUCUGUGAACUGCUCUACUUUGAGAAGAUGACCAGUUUCGAGUAAUCAGAAUUAACCCUCCUCCUUAAGGUUGUUUUUUUUUUUUCCUUUUUCUAAAAAGCUAUGUAUUGCUCCUAUUGAAAGACCAGAUCCUUAAAGAAGUUUGUGGUAUGAAAAGAAAGUGGGGACAGAUUCGCAGCACAGUCUUCGGCAUGUUUCACUCCUGCCACUCUCAGCCAGCUGUUUAGGCCUGCGGUGCCAGCCUCACGGAGAGCUGCGUGGAUUCUUGUGGUAUGCUUGGGAGAUGGCAGCAGUGAAGCAGCAGCCACCAGGGAGUGGCUGUUUGGGGUUGGGACAGGAUGUUUUGGGUGGCAUAGAGGUUUUGUAUUGAGGGCCAGUGAUGAUGAUUUGAUAUUUCCUGCUACUUAAAUUUGAAUCUGAGUGAAUUGUUCCUAUUUCUGAUGAUGUCGGUCUUGCAAAGCGACAGAUUCAUAAAGUAAUGAUGAAAUCUUCCCUUCUUCCCGUGUGUAUUUCUAAGAAAUAGAGCCAACUGAUUUUGUAUGUAAAUACCGAGAGCAAUUUACCUGGUAUUAAACCCGCACCCCAAUGCGGACCCUUCCCUGCCCUCACCCCACUUCCUUUCCUGCAGUCCUGAAACCUGUCUCCUUUGUGUGAUCCAGCCCUGGUUCUGGCUGUGGUCAACAGAUCCCAGUGAAGGGUUUUGUGUGUUUAGGCCUCAUUUCUUUGUCUUUUUCCUACUCCGUUCCUGGCAUUUGCUGAUUUCUAGUGUAUACUCUGUAGUCUCAGUUCGUGUUUGAUUCCAUUCCAUGGAAAUAAAAAGUAUGUUGUACAUACUGCUGAAGAAUUGUCUUGCAAUUUAAGGCUUCCCCCUUUACUAUAAGACUAUAAAUAAAAACUUAUUUUAUCCUUAAAAAAAAAAAAAA